GAUCGAUGGCUUGAGUGAAAUUGUUCAGAUUGCAGAUCAAAGGCUCUGGAUGUUUAAUAUGCAGAUUAUGGGGUUAGAGAAGAAAAAUUCAGCCUUAAUUGCUGUUUUAAACAAGAAAUCGAAAGAAGAACAUCGUCAGAGACCUGACAAACACAAGACUACAGAGAACAGCUAAAGUUCUUUGCAUAAUGAGUGAAACACAAAGCUGUCAGUGAACGGAAUGAAUCGUCAUAGUAUUCAUUUCAAUUGUAUAAAUAAUUCUAUUUACAAGAAUUGGAUGUAUUAGUGUACUUUAAAAUAUAUUAAUGUGGUGAAUGAGAUAAUCUAGAAAUCUAGGGUUUGAAGUGCAAGUUGCUUAAGAAUAUCUUUCUCAAGUUGCAUAAUUUAAAUGUAUUCUCCAUAAUAAAUAAUUCAUUGAGUAAUCAAUUUUGCAUAUGCUCACUACACAGAUAUUUGGUGAAAUAUAAUAAUAGGGGUUAGAAAUGAAAGACUUUUUAUUUUGACAUAUGAACUAUAAGGUUUAUAACCUCAUAAAAUAUGUUGAAUU
This is a long non-coding RNA of Amblyraja radiata (thorny skate), 547 nucleotides long. RefSeq lists it as uncharacterized. Lineage: Eukaryota; Metazoa; Chordata; Chondrichthyes; Rajiformes; Rajidae. The transcript is spliced from 3 exons. The record is from RefSeq and is a predicted model, not a curated record.